Molecule: ribosomal RNA, 330 nt
Filed under: uncultured eukaryote
Lineage: Eukaryota
Description: partial 18S ribosomal RNA
Rfam family: Eukaryotic small subunit ribosomal RNA
Source: RNAcentral
CCCUUAGAUGUUCUGGGCCGCACGCGCGCUACACUGAUGCAUUCAACGAGUCUAAAACCUGGUCUGAUAGGGCUGGGUAAUCUUUUGAAUGUGCAUCGUGAUUGGGAUAGAUGAUUGCAAUUCUUCAUCUUCAACGAGGAAUGCCUAGUAAACGCAAGUCAUCAGCUUGCAUUGAUUACGUCCCUGCCCUUUGUACAAACCGCCCGUCGCUCCUACCGAUUGAAUGUUCCGAUGAAUACCAUGGACUGAGAGUAUGAAUGGGUUCGCCUAUUUCUGCUUCUCGGGAAGUGGAGUAAAUCUUAACAUUUAGAGGAAGGAGAAGUCGUAACA